GAACGUGGAAGCAAGAUGUCGGUUCGCUUUCGGUGUCUUGCGAAGUUCUAUGGAGGGUUGUGUGAUAACCACAUAGCGAAUAAGUCUUGGACUGAAAGAAAACACACUAU
Molecule: non-coding RNA, 110 nt
Submitted as: unclassified sequences
Source: Rfam